UACGUAUUUUUACGUUCACUGUGAACAAAUCAGGACGCUUAGAGUAUGGCCACAUGAAUGACUCAGCGCAGUAUGAAGUCUUUGUUUUCUUCCGAAAACAAGCUCAAUGAGAGCCAUCGGGGGUAGAUCUAUCUCAUGACGAGUGGUGGAAUACUGUGACUCAUGAGAGAGAAGCUGAGGCGAAGGCGUCUACCUAGAGGGUUUCUGUCGAUCAAGGGCGAGAGUAGGAGUAUCCAACAGGAUUAGAGACCCUGGUAGUUCCUACCUUAAACGAUGCCGACAGGAGUUUGUCAUUUGUUAAUGGCAGAAUCUUUGGAGAAAUCAUAGUUCUUGGGCUCUGGGGGAACUACGACCGCAAGGCUGAAACUUGAAGGAAUUGACGGAAGGGCACACCAGGGGUGGAGCCUGUGGCUUAAUUUGAAUCAACACGGGGAAACUUACCAGGACCAGAUGUUUUUUAUGACUGACAGGCUUCGGGUCUUUCAGGAUAUUGUUUUUGGUGGUGCAUGGCCGUUGGUGGUGCGUGGGUUGACCUGUCUAGCGUUGAUUCAGCUAACGAGCGAGAUUAUCGCCAAUUAUUUACUUUGCCGAAGUCCUUCGGUUAAAGUUCUAAUUGGGACUCCCUGCGAUUUUAGCAGGUGGAAGAGGGUAGCAAUAACAGGUCCGUGAUGCCCUUUAGAUGCUCUGGGCUGCACGCGUGCUACAAUGUUAGGAUCAAUAGGACUGCGAGCCUGAGAGGGUGCGCUACUCUUAUAAUCCCUAACGUAGUUGGGAUUGACGUUUGUAAUCAGCGUCAUGAACCAGGAAUCCCUUGUAAAUGUG
Molecule: non-coding RNA, 822 nt
Filed under: Trichomonas vaginalis G3
Lineage: Eukaryota; Parabasalia; Trichomonadida; Trichomonadidae
Description: Eukaryotic small subunit ribosomal RNA
Rfam family: Eukaryotic small subunit ribosomal RNA
Source: Rfam by way of RNAcentral